UCCUCACUGAUCAGUUCCAUACCUCCUAGGAUCUUUUAGAUUUAAAAAAAUAAAAAAUAAGUAGUGAGCUUUACAAGUUCAGUAAAUUAUCAAUAUCUCUAAAAAAUCAAGUAUAAAUAAUUUUUAAAAUAUCAUAAUUUCAUAGUAAUAUGUAACAAUAUAAAUCUUCUUUCAAAACAUGUCAUGCAAAACAAUAAACUCCAAAAAUUCUCUCAAUUUUUGACGACUACGGCC
Molecule: long non-coding RNA, 234 nt
Filed under: Elaeis guineensis (African oil palm)
Lineage: Eukaryota; Viridiplantae; Streptophyta; Magnoliopsida; Arecales; Arecaceae
Description: long non-coding RNA (EGUI_LNC029323)
Source: RNAcentral